Molecule: ribosomal RNA, 2921 nt
Filed under: Bacillus thuringiensis serovar kurstaki str. YBT-1520
Lineage: Bacteria; Bacillati; Bacillota; Bacilli; Caryophanales; Bacillaceae
Description: 23S ribosomal RNA
Source: RNAcentral
AUGGUUAAGUCCUCGAUCUAUUAGUAUUCGUCAGCUCCACAUGUCACCAUGCUUCCACCUCGAACCUAUCAACCUGAUCAUCUUUCAGGGAUCUUACUAGCUUACGCUAUGGGAAAUCUCAUCUUGAGGGGGGCUUCAUGCUUAGAUGCUUUCAGCACUUAUCCCUUCCGCACAUAGCUACCCAGCUAUGCCCUUGGCAGAACAACUGGUACACCAGCGGUGCGUCCAUCCCGGUCCUCUCGUACUAAGGACAGCUCCUCUCAAAUUUCCUACGCCCACGACGGAUAGGGACCGAACUGUCUCACGACGUUCUGAACCCAGCUCGCGUACCGCUUUAAUGGGCGAACAGCCCAACCCUUGGGACCGACUACAGCCCCAGGAUGCGAUGAGCCGACAUCGAGGUGCCAAACCUCCCCGUCGAUGUGGACUCUUGGGGGAGAUAAGCCUGUUAUCCCCGGGGUAGCUUUUAUCCGUUGAGCGAUGGCCCUUCCAUGCGGAACCACCGGAUCACUAAGCCCGACUUUCGUCCCUGCUCGACUUGUAGGUCUCGCAGUCAAGCUCCCUUAUGCCUUUGCACUCUACGAAUGAUUUCCAACCAUUCUGAGGGAACCUUUGGGCGCCUCCGUUACACUUUAGGAGGCGACCGCCCCAGUCAAACUGCCCACCUGACACUGUCUCCCGGGUCGAUAAGACCCGUAGGUUAGAAUUUCAAUACAGUCAGGGCGGUAUCCCACCAGCGCCUCCACCGAAGCUAGCGCUCCGGUUUCAAUGGCUCCCGCCUAUCCUGUACAAACUGUACCAAAAUUCAAUAUCAGGCUACAGUAAAGCUCCACGGGGUCUUUCCGUCCUGUCGCGGGUAACCUGCAUCUUCACAGGUACUAUAAUUUCACCGAGUCUCUGGUUGAGACAGUGCCCAAAUCGUUACACCUUUCGUGCGGGUCGGAACUUACCCGACAAGGAAUUUCGCUACCUUAGGACCGUUAUAGUUACGGCCGCCGUUUACUGGGGCUUCAGUUCAGAGCUUCGCUUACGCUAACCCCUCUCCUUAACCUUCCAGCACCGGGCAGGUGUCACCCCCUAUACUUCGCCUUACGGCUUCGCAGAGAGCUGUGUUUUUGCUAAACAGUCGCUUGGGCCUAUUCACUGCGGCUUUCCGUUAAGAAAGCACCCCUUCUCCCGAAGUUACGGGGUCAUUUUGCCGAGUUCCUUAACCAGAGUUCUCUCGCACACCUUAGGAUUCUCUCCUCGCCUACCUGUGUCGGUUUGCGGUACAGGCACCUUUUAUCUCGCUAGAAGCUUUUCUUGGCAGCGGGGAAUCAAAGACUUCGCUCCAUAAGGAGCUUCCCCAUCACAGCUCAGCCUUUAUGAUAAGCGGAUUUGCCUACUUAUCAGCCUAACUGCUUGGACGUGCACAACCAAUCGCACGCUUCUUCUAUCCUUCUGCGUCCCUCCAUUGCUCAAACGAUAAAGAGGUGGUACAGGAAUAUCAACCUGUUGUCCAUCGCCUACGCCUGUCGGCCUCGGCUUAGGUCCUGACUAACCCUGAGCGGACGAGCCUUCCUCAGGAAACCUUAGGCAUUCGGUGGACGGGAUUCUCACCCGUCUUUCGCUACUCAUACCGGCAUUCUCACUUCUAAGCACUCCACCAGUCCUUACGGUCUGACUUCACUGUCCUUAGAACGCUCCCCUACCACUGAUACCAUUCGGUAUCAAUCCGCAGCUUCGGUGGUGUAUUUAGCCCCGGUACAUUUUCGGCGCAGAGUCACUCGACUAGUGAGCUAUUACGCACUCUUUAAAUGGUGGCUGCUUCUAAGCCAACAUCCUAGUUGUCUAAGCAACUCCACAUCCUUUUCCACUUAAUACACACUUUGGGACCUUAGCUGGCGGUCUGGGCUGUUUCCCUUUUGACUACGGAUCUUAUCACUCGCAGUCUGACUCCUAAGGAUAAGUCAUUGGCAUUCGGAGUUUGACUGAAUUCGGUAAUCCGAUGAGGACCCCUAGUCCAAUCAGUGCUCUACCUCCAAGACUCUUACACUUAAGGCUAGCCCUAAAGCUAUUUCGGGGAGAACCAGCUAUCUCCAGGUUCGAUUGGAAUUUCUCCGCUACCCACACCUCAUCCCCGCACUUUUCAACGUGCGUGGGUUCGGGCCUCCAUUCAGUGUUACCUGAACUUCACCCUGGACAUGGGUAGAUCACCUGGUUUCGGGUCUACGACCACGUACUAAACGCCCUAUUCAGACUCGCUUUCGCUGCGGCUCCGCCUCUUCAGCUUAACCUCGCACGGGAUCGUAACUCGCCGGUUCAUUCUACAAAAGGCACGCCAUCACCCGUUAACGGGCUCUGACUAUUUGUAGGCACACGGUUUCAGGAUCUCUUUCACUCCCCUUCCGGGGUGCUUUUCACCUUUCCCUCACGGUACUGGUUCACUAUCGAUCACUAGGGAGUAUUUAGCCUUGGGAGAUGGUCCUCCCAGAUUCCGACGGAAUUUCACGUGUUCCGCCGUACUCAGGAUACAUUCAAGAGAGAACGAAGUUUCGACUACGGGGUUGUUACCCUCUACGACGGACCUUUCCAGGUCGCUUCGUCUACCUCGUUCCUUUGUAACUCCGUAUAGAAUGUCCUACAACCCCAAGAGGCAAGCCUCUUGGUUUGGGCUAUGUUCCGUUUCGCUCGCCGCUACUCAGGAAAUCGCAUUUGCUUUCUCUUCCUCCAGGUACUUAGAUGUUUCAGUUCCCUGGGUCUGUCUUCCUUACCCUAUGUAUUCAGAUAAGGAUACCAUACCAUUACGUAUGGUGGGUUUCCCCAUUCGGAAAUCUUCGGAUCAAAGCUUACUUACAGCUCCCCGAAGCAUAUCGGCGUUAGUCCCGUCCUUCAUCGACUCCUAGUGUCAAGGCAUCCACCGUGCGCCCUUUCUAACUUAA